Long non-coding RNA from Planococcus citri (citrus mealybug), 3752 nucleotides. RefSeq lists it as uncharacterized. The transcript has 5 exons. NCBI's taxonomy places the organism in Eukaryota, Metazoa, Arthropoda, Insecta, Hemiptera, Pseudococcidae. The record is from RefSeq and is a predicted model, not a curated record.
UUGUAGAGAAUUAAAUUUCCAAUCGACAUAAUGUCAUUAGUUUUUUUCUAGGAUGCUUAGUUUUUGAUUUAUUUACGAAAAACUUCGGAAUACUGACUUAUGCGCCACUCUGUAUUUAACCCUAUUUAUAUCAUUUCAAGCUAUCACAAUCCACUAAUUGCAAAGUUCCGGGACUCGUGCAGAAAAUGCGUCAAUUUUCUUUCACGUUUUGAAUUUUUAUCAGAAAUUUCUCGAAUCACAUUACACCCAUUCCUGAGUGGAAAUUUGCAUUUCUUUGUGAAAACUCAUUCACAAUUUUCAGUCGAAUUUUCUCAUUCUGUUUUCAAGAUGAAAUUCUCUAUGGGGAUCGUGAUGUUUUAUUCCGACUUCGAUUAAAGUUGAAUAGGUUCUGUUGGAUAGGAGUAAUUACUUUAGAGUGAGUAUUGUGGACUAUUUAUGUCUGACUCGAGUCAAGGUGAGUAAUGUUUAAAAUUCGAUCGAUCAUUUUUUUCAGUCCGUCUUGAGUUGUCAAUUUACCGAUAGCUAAUUUACAUCUAACUCCAAGCGAUAAUGCCCGGAAUCACUAUGAUCUUAUUAUACAAAAAAAUCGUGAUUACCGAAAGUUGUGCGCUCAGAAAUUAUGCCCAAGUGCACGUGGUCAACAUUGAUUCAAGUGUUGGAAGUAUUCAAGCCCUCACAAAAUUUCAAGAUCAAUUGAAAGAUUACAGAAUAGCUGUAUGUAAUGGGUCUGAUGUUCAUGGAGGCAUAAUGUUCAAAAGGUGAUACAACUAGAAUUUUUCGAAUAUUGAAUUAGUAUACGAAUUUUGAUGUAAAUGAGAAAAUUUUCAACGUUUUUCAACUUCAGUACUACCAAACAUUUUUGGAAAUACUACAUUUUUAGUUUCAAAACGCUUUGACAAGAUAGCAAUGAAUUCAUCAAUUGCCUGAGAAUUAUUACCAGUUACAAGAAAAUCAUCGAUGUAAACGAUUAACGUAAUAAAAUGUUUUCCAAUUGUUUUUGUGUAAAUACGCGGUUCACGAGGGUUACAGAUAAACCACAUCGAUUUCAAGUGUCCACGAGAAUGUGGGGUACACCCUAAAAACAUCAGUCAUUGUUCAUAAAAUCGGAAAUAUUCAUAAGACGUAGGAUGAAAAAAGUGAAGUACGAAAUGUUCUGCUAGUGGACCAGACUGGUAAGUAUAAAUAUGUUGAUUAUUAAAAUAUGUGUGUGUUAAAUUUAUUAUAUUAAUUUAUAUUUUUGUAUAGGUGCUCUCGCUGUGAAGGAUUAUCAUCCGAUGGCGAAUUUGGACCAAGUUUUUGCGCAAUUUUCGCAUGUAACAUUCUCAUCAUGGGCAACAUCCAUGCGAGAGGUAUUGCUCAAUUGGUAUUGCAAGAUCACGCUCUUUUUCAAUUUUUCAGUCCAGAUUUCAAGUGAUUUCGAGAAGUUGCAACCGAACGCGUGUGAGAAAUUUCCAAAGCGAAUGGAACAACUUAUGAGAAUUUAUACUCGACACAUUGAUAAAAAAACAUCCCUGUUCCUAUGUGCGAGAGGUGCGGCGAUGGCUUUGAGCCGAACCAAGAUAUAGUGUGGAACGAAACAUGUCCACAUGUUUACCAUCAGCGCAGUAUAAAAGACGUUACCGAACAAAAAACUCCCGCCGGCAACUAAAUAUAUCACCGCGAAAUGCCAUCACCGAAACUGUGAAAAUUGCAAAAUGGUUCCAUGAAAAUAGGCUACAAACAUAUCGAAAAUUUGAUGAAAUAUGCAUAAUAAUUAUUUCAAAAUUAUGUAAAAUUUGUUCAAAAAAAAGCAAAUAUCACGAAAAUUUCCCAAAAAAAUUAUCCAAUAAAUACCUACAAAAAAUUUAUAAAAAAUGCUACGCAAAAACACACCUACAAGGAGGAAAGGAAAAUUAAUGCAAGAAAGCUAAACGUGCUGAGGUAGCAGAACACUGCAAAUGUGUUUUUCAGAGAGCAAUUUGGCUUGCGUAUCAUAAUUUCAAGUGAACCUUAUUAAAGGUUUUUAGCUGCGACUAUGACAACUUAUUUUCCAUUCCAAUUUUCUCAAUUUUUUUCCCUACAGUUUGUUCAUUUCUUGUAUGAUUUUCGAUUCGUAAUAUAUUUAAUUUCGUUUUUUGUUUGUUAUUAAAUGUUAUUGUGUUAAUAUUUUAUUUAAAAUGGAAAUCGUAAGCCACUGCCUAUGAAAUCCCAAUUUAGAAAUGAAAAUAGUGGAGGUUUACUGAAACCAUAAGAUAGGUACUCGCUGAACUUUCUGGAACUUUAAAAGAACCCAUUUCGAAUUUGGAAAAUUUUGAAUUCAUUCGAAUGAAGCCCCCCUCGUAAUUGCGUGUACGUCUAUUUUCACUCAAGUGGUUAAAACCAUUUCACAGACCAACACCAAGCAACCAAAGCUCUGCUGCUACCAGUACUUCGCAGGCGACGGACCUGGAAAAUGAUAUAACGACUGAACAAGUCGACCAAAUGCGUCGACUAUCCAGCGAAACAUCAAGUGAUGCGUAAUUUCCUCACCCUGCAUUACGGUUGCUACGAACAUUCAACGCGAACAUAGCAAAUUGCCAAAAAAUUGUUACUUCUCAUUUCAAUAAAAAUAACUCGAAAAAUAUGAUCUCGUUACCAAGACUACGUCAUUAUCGAGUUGAUUAUGAUCCCCCGAUCGUGAAAUUGCCAGCCAACCCACGGAUGCUGGGAUAUAGGCGCGAAAAUCUGAAUAGCAUCUUUUUGGGUAGAAGUGCCGCGCAGAUAUCCUCAAAAAAUACUAUACCGAAAAUAGAGAUGCGCAUUUACGAUGCGCCGACCAGUACGCCAAUCUUUUGGAAAAAUUAAGCACGCAGCCAGCCCGAAAGCUCACAGGUAUUGAGGGGAUCGCAGUAGAUAACAUAAUGAAAAUUGACGAAAAUGACAUUAAAGAACUUCACGCGGUUCCGAUCGGCGUAAAAAAAAUAAAUGAAAUGGUUACAAAUGCAGAGGAAAACCCCAAACCAGAUAUAAGCCCGACGAUAACCGCGGACUAGCCAUACAAGAAUAAAAUCGUUCGCACCGGAUUAAAAUAGGCAUCUGAUUUCCGCUGGGAAGGCCAGGUGGAGGGUUCAACAGUAUGUCCACCUUUCAUCCUUAUGUCGGACACCAGCGAAAAUUAUGUGUAUCAGGUUUUCGCUGAAAAGCACACUACGCACAUCAUGGAGCUGAAGAUGUGAAAGGAGACUGGGUGCUUUUGAUUUUGCGAAGCUGGAUUGAACUGCAUCAAUCAGAAAAACAAUUCUCCCACCAGAUCCUGACAAGAUCGAAAUAACUCAGCAAAAUUCUCAACUUUGUCGAGAAAAUGUUCGAGUUAGGUACUUCGAACAAAUCUCACGUCAGCCUUCAAGAACAUAUUUCACACUUACAGAAAAGGCGUGGAGCAAUUCAAGAAGAAACUCGCAUAAAUCAACAAAUAAAGUUAGCAGAAGCACUUGAAAGUCUAAAAGACUUCCAGAAAAUAAUGGGAAACCAUUGGUCAAAUUUUUCGUCCCCUGCCUAUAUCUGCUUCAUUCACUCUCACAACCAAACCCACAACAAACAUAUAUGUACUUCCAUUAAUGGAGACUGUGCAGGCACUACAAAUACAAUCCUUUCGCAGAGUCAUAUUGGAAUUGCCACGUUGAGAUGCCAAAAAAUGGAUUUAUUCGUUAAGUUUUUAAAAUGUGGUUUUAUAAGUUUGUCUUUUUCCAGUAAGUAGAGAAAUUUUAAUUAAAUAAAACCAUAUUAAAAUUUUA